UCAGUAAAUCUGUUGUCAACACAUUGCAUUGGAUUUUUUCUCUAUAUAUAUAUAUGUGCAAGUUGCUAUUUACCCUUGAGUCUCAGUUUCUUCCUUCACAAUCUGCCUGUCAGAAUAUUCAAACAUUCAGAAUAAGUAAUUCUGAAGGACACAGAGAUUUGGGAAGCAGACCCUCCCUCCCUUCAAUCAGUUGUCAUGCUCUCUUCAGGCUGAAAUUGUCAUCAUUGCUACAGCCUUAACUGGGCUUGACAGUAGCUGCAUUUGUGCGUGUUGGUCUUCAUCUUUUCUGGCUAAAGCCUUGGACCUGAGUCUGCUUAUUUUGAUUCAAUAUUCAUAAGGGAUAGUAAACUUGCUAACAAAGUUUGGCUUCACCAUUAUUUAGAGUAGCAGCAGAAGAUCUAGACUCUACUAAAGAUCAUCUCAAGUUGAUAGGAAGACAGUGAAUCUUUUCAAAACCCUAGAUUUUGCAACAUUCCUCUUAACAUCUGAAUUUCAUGCCAAUGAAAUUCAGAUGUUAAAGUCUUCUCUUUGUGCACACUAUAAUUUGAAGCAGAUUAUUUCACAUAUUUAAUGGGUCAAUGAAAACUUUUUUGUUUUUUUUUCUUCUUGCUGUAAGGAUGUGGCAAACUCCAUUUUUCUGUCAGAUUUGAGUAACAGAACUUCUUCACUUGCUCAACAUGUUCAUUUCCAUUCAGUAAUGCUGCUGUCAACUGUCAUCCACAGUGUCUGAGCCCACACUGGCUUCAGCCACUUGCAUUGCUACUAGAAACCACAGACUCAGCAAUAAGGAUGUCAUCAGCGUACUUGAGAUUACAACAUCUCCUUCUGCCAAUGUUAAUACCACUAUGGCAACCAUCAACAGCAAUACACAUUAUUAUUUCACUAUACAUAUUGAGCAGAUGUGACAGCCUUGUCAAACUCCUUUCCUGGUGUCCAACUACUCCGUUAUACCUUCUGCUGCUUUGACUACUCUUCUCUGGCCAUGAAAAGAGAUGGCACAAGUUGACCAUGUGUGUAGUAAAGCACAUUUUGCAAUGUCCAGAAGUGGCUCCUAUUUCUGUGUAACAUACUAAACUAAGGUUUUUAAAAACAGUUGCUAAAAUAUAAAUGCAGUAGAGUUACUACUUCAUUUUUUUAAAUAACAAAUUCAUGAUUAAAAUCUAUGCAGAUUUCCACCAACUUCACCAAGGUCAGGAUGUAGCCCAACAGCCGCAGAGCUCCUAUUACAGCCAAUAGUUGGCUGAAUGUACUGUAGCCCUCUUUUCCCGAGAUGAUCAGCCUCCUUGAAAGACAAAAACAAAGAUACUAUGUCAGACUUCCUGUUCAACCCUUUAUGUACAUUCACCUAAUUAACCUUUCUGCUUAAUUUUAAAUGUCUUAAGAAUGUUCUUGCAGUUUAAUUAGAAGAAACUAAGUUCACACAGACCAGAAUAUUAGAUGUUACUUGUUCUCUUUAAGCAGGUUUUGCAGUAUCUCACCUGGAGAAGACAGCGGGGAACCUUAAAUUAGAAGAGGGAGUUAACUUAUCCCAAGACUAGGUCAGCAGGAGAAUGAGAAAUAGGCAAGAACAACCUAAUCCAAUUUUCCAUCCAUUUUCCUGCUCAACCACAUACCAUUCAAAAACCCUAAAAGGUUAUUCAAUGUCUAAUUUUGCAGGCAUUAGCCUUUAAAUCACAGCAAAGCAACUCAGAGAACCUGGGGAACAACCUGCCGUGUUCUGUUUCACCUCCACAAGCAUAGGUUUUCUCUCAGAGGGCUUCAGAAGAAGCAACACAAUGGCUAUGUAGUAGCACGGCUUUGUAUGGCAAAAUGUGCUCAGCAUCAGAAAAGGGAGUCUCACAGUGUUCUAGGUGUGAUUGUCUUAAGAAACCAGUGUUUCAGACAGCAGCUCUGAUUCCUGGCUUUUCUUCCUUCUGAGUUUACAUCCGUGGCAGGUGAAUUGUCCAUAGUAAGAAGAGAUGUGAAAAGCUGGGCAGAUGUGGUUUCACAGGUCUAAUCAAUAUAGAAAAGGUGAAGUGGAAAAGAGCAAACAGUAGUGUGAAGCAGCUUUGGUUCUCUUUAAGAAUAUUCUCUUCAAUCUGGGUAACAUGAGAUCCUUAGAAGAAAAUUCUAGAGAUAUUUGCUGGCAACCAUAAGACUUAUCUCCUUACUUAAAAGGAUUCAACCUUUGUGUCUCCUCAACUCCAUCCAUAAAAGUAAUGACAAAACCUUUAGGUUUGUACAAAAACUUACCUUUGUCUUACUGGCAUAAUUUCUAGUAUGUAGUAUACAAAAGUUUGAAAUCUUCAAGGAUUUAUUUACUGAAUGUAGGAGAUUUGUGAUAGUUCCAAGACUGAUGAGUCAUUACAUGGUGGUGCACAAUACAAAACACAAAACUAGAGCAUAAGAGUACAACAAUGUUUGAGUAGUCAUAUUCUAACAUCAGCUGGAUGCUGCUGGAAAAGAAAUGGGGCGGGUUUACUAUUUUUAAAGGAUAGCCAAUUUUUUAUUUAUUUGGUUUACAUUUUUUAAGUGACUCCAAAAUACUUCAUAGAACCAUAGGCUGUACACUGCCUGUAAUCUUAAAUGAGUCCAGAAGGACACAUAAAUAGAUAUAAAAUGCCAAUGAAGAAAUAACGUAAAAAAUUCCAUCCUCAAUUAAAAAAUGUGCAAAGUCAUUUAUGUUUGGGAAAAAAAAAUCUUAUGUUGCUUAAGACAUGAUAAAGACAAGGAAUUUAAAGACAAUCUGAACUUGGACAAAAAUCUCUAAACCUCCUACUUCAGUUGUAGCUUUGCAUAGCUAUAAACAAAGCAGGUGUGAUCGGGUUAAUUUCUGCUUUUGUACAGUUCCUUGGCAUAGUGCAACACAAUAGAUUAAGAAACUUUUGACUCUACCAGUAUCUUCCGGUGGAGAGCAACAGCAACAGGCUCCAUGCUGGCCUCUGUUCAGGUCAAGGUUCUCACAGUGCUUCACAAAUUAUUCACACCUCAAAAACAUAUCUGACCUGUGAGUAUUUAGCACUCAUUUCAGCCCAGCUGUUUUAAGUGUGUUGCAAAUCCUUCUUACUAAAUAUUUAGGUGACCAGGUGUAACCCCUGAGGAGCAUAUCUAAAAAAACCCCCAAGGUCCUGGUUUAGCUAUAAGCAAAAGUAGUUUCUUUGAACAUAGUAGGACCUCUCACAACCUCAGAAAGAUCCAAAAGGUGUUCUCAGUGGCAUGUUUGUUGAGGGACCCUUAAUAGGUAGAGCAGUUGGCUGGGGGCCACAUAAAGGUAUUCUUUUAAUGUUCAAAAGAUGUCAGAUUAAGAAACCUCUCUCUGUAAGUGACGUUGAAAACCUUUUUAGAAUAUAGGUGGCUGUUGGUUCUGCUUUGGAAGACUUUGAUAUAACAGAAACGAAACCACUUAACAGCUGACAUUAAAUAAUUAAGUACCUCAUCAGAAUAAAGGUUCAUCUGUAUGCAACUUUUAAGGUAAUUUAGAUGCUACUUGGUUGAACCUAUUAAAGAUGCAGAUUUUGUGGAUCUCUAAGGCUAGUAUUUUAGUUUCACAAAAUUUGUUCACAGUCUUUCAGAUUUUUCUGUUCUUGAUAGUUAUGUUCCCCCCUCCACAAGAGAUAUUAAAUUAAAGAAAAAGUACAAUACCUUACUCUCUAGACAAGAGGAAGUCUGUGCUAUUUAACAAGCUUAGGGAAUAAAGCCAUUGUUGAUUUAAAUAAAAGGAAAACUCCCAAUUGUUUUCAGUAAUGGCCAGGAUUAAACUUU
Long non-coding RNA from Passer domesticus (house sparrow), 3741 nucleotides. RefSeq lists it as uncharacterized. The transcript has 2 exons. Lineage: Eukaryota; Metazoa; Chordata; Aves; Passeriformes; Passeridae. The record is from RefSeq and is a predicted model, not a curated record.